ACAGCCGCAGGAGACCCAUCACCCCACCCUCUCAGGUCAUCUUCUUCGAACCACCUCAUCCCCCAAACGAUUGUCCUUGAUCUCUUUAACAAUCGACGAACCAGACCACUUUUCAACUCCACCUCUCAUCAGAUCGGCAACCAAACAAGCCCAGACCCCGUUGCAACCACUCCCUCUACACUCAAACUCAAUGACCCCUGAAGCUUGUCUUCUUUGACGACGCCAGCCCCACCAGCUCCUACAUUCACUAGGUCUCGCCGGAAAUGGCAAUCAAUGGUGAUGAAAGGCCAUGGAUGUGACUGAAAUCUUCGUUAAUCGUUUGAGUUUUCUGGCCAGGCAUUUGGUUUUCGAGUCGAAGUCCUAGCCGCCGAUUCAAGGUACUAUUCGAAGUCCGAUUUAGUUGUUGCACGUGUUUUGUCUUCAUCGCUGGGUCUUGCGCACAGUUCAGUUCGAACUCAUCUUUGUAAUCAUUGAUUUUACUCAUUUAAAAGAAGCCAUCUCAGGUUCAAUAUCUUUCUCUUUUUUACAUCUGUUUGAUUGUCGAUUGGGAAAAUGUGAUAAGAGUUAUGCUAAUCCAUCUAUAAACAUAGGUCUGUGAGUAAUUUCAAUUGAGGUUGGAUUCGGAGUUAGCAUUUAUUCUCGAUUCAUGAUUGAAAAUUGUAUUUGAUAUGUCAUUUUGCUGCUUGGAAACUUGUAUUCACUGUCCUGAUUUGCCUCGGGCACAUUCAGAUAACAAGAGGCUAAUUUGAAUGUUCGUUUCCUAUGUCUCAGAUGCCUUUAGCUGUUUAUGGUGUUGAAGUAUCUCUUGGGAUUUAAGUUUUCUCGAGUUGAAAUGGACGAUUUGUUCGGCUUCAGGAUUUGUUUGAAUAAGUCUGAACCAGCGACGCAUAUUCUCAUGGUUUUCUGUUUGGUUCUCUGUUUGAUUCUCUUCAUGCCUAAUCAUUCUAUUCUUUUCUUUGGGAUAUGCAUAACAAUUUGUGUAUAGGAGUGUAGAGGGUCUGAACUAAGUUAGGGACAUUUAUUUGUCUGAAAAAAUUCAAAUCUCAACUAUGUUUGAAAUUAAUUAGGAAGCCUUUAAGAUAGCCUAAGAAUUGUUUAAUAAAAGGUGUAUCUCACCUACUUAAGAAGUUGCUAGCACAUGGUAGGAUCAGUCUAGGGAUUAAUUUAAUAAAAAGGGGAUCAGCAAUGCAAAGGACACCCUGUUCAAUACUUUUAAGAGUUGGAAAGUAAGACAACAUGGGGGGAACAUUUCAAAAAGCUGAAAUAAUACAAUUAUAAAGAAAAGAUGAGCUGGAAAGGGGGGACGCUGGAAGUUUAAAAAAGGGAGAACAAUAGGCUUGAAAGAUGGGGGAUACACAAGAGAGAAGGGAAGAGAGAAUUAAGAGCUGGAAAAAAAUCUAGAAACAAGAAGGAAGAAUUACUGUUCCAUUGCAUUUCUUCUCUAUAAUUGGAAGAGGCUUGUAGUUCUCUGAAGAUUGUCUAAGGAUCUGGUGUGGGAAUGGAGUAGAUUUGGUUGUUCGAAGUUUGGUUGUGAAGUUGCUUGGUUAUUGCUCAACUGAAAUAGUUUUCUCUUAUUUCCAAUUCAUUUUCCUGGGUUGAAUUGUUGCUGCUAGUGCUAUUUUUGCCGCUGCGUAUUGCUGACUCCACACUCCUUUUGGCUUUGUUUGUCUUGCUGUUGUAACCAGGUACAUUCCCUUGACUUCUGAUGAUUGUAGGUUUCAUAAUGAAGACGAAAUGAGAAUUGGAAGCAUGACAUCAAAUCUGUGUUGUUCUUUUAUGAUAUUUAUAUGCCUAGUCAUCUAGCCCCAUGUAAUUUAGUUAUUUUUAGUUGGAUUUAACUAAGCUAUUAUUUUAUAAUUGAACUAUGGACUGUUAAGACAAAACUUGACCAAGCAUGAAUGUGGUAUGAAGAGUCAUAACUGAUUAGUUAUAAUGUUAUUGUUUCAAGUAUAGAAUAGAAUGCAUGGUUUUAGUCCAGGAAUUCAGUUUCCAUACUUUGAAGUUUAGAAUUUCAUGGUUAUCGUUGUUUGGUCAUCAGUCUAUGAAACCUGAUUUUGG
This 2058-nucleotide long non-coding RNA is filed under the name Nicotiana tabacum (common tobacco). RNAcentral describes it as "long non-coding RNA (NTAB_LNC009544)". The record is from RNAcentral. Lineage: Eukaryota; Viridiplantae; Streptophyta; Magnoliopsida; Solanales; Solanaceae.